This 1372-nucleotide ribosomal RNA is filed under the name uncultured bacterium. RNAcentral describes it as "bacterial SSU rRNA". It matches the Rfam family "Bacterial small subunit ribosomal RNA", at positions 28 to 1381 of the family's 1533-position model. The record is from RNAcentral.
GAUAAACGCUGGCGGCGUGCCUAAUACAUGCAAGUCGAGCGAACGGACGAGAAGCUUGCUUCUCUGAUGUUAGCGGCGGACGGGUGAGUAACACGUGGAUAACCUACCUAUAAGACUGGGAUAACCUCGGGAAACCGGAGCUAAUACCGGAUAAUAUUUUGAACCGCAUGGUUCAAAAGUGAAAGACGGUCUUGCUGUCACUUAUAGAUGGAUCCGCGCUGCAUUAGCUAGUUGGUAAGGUAACGGCUUACCAAGGCAACGAUGCAUAGCCGACCUGAGAGGGUGAUCGGCCACACUGGAACUGAGACACGGUCCAAACUCCUACGGGAGGCAGCAGUAGGGAAUCUUCCGCAAUGGGCGAAAGCCUGACGGAGCAACGCCGCGUGAGUGAUGAAGGUCUUCGGAUCGUAAAACUCUGUUAUUAGGGAAGAACAAAUGUGUAAGUAACUAUGCACGUCUUGACGGUACCUAAUCAGAAAGCCACGGCUAACUACGUGCCAGCAGCCGCGGUAAUACGUAGGUGGCAAGCGUUAUCCGGAAUUAUUGGGCGUAAAGCGCGCGUAGGCGGUUUUUUAAGUCUGAUGUGAAAGCCCACGGCUCAACCGUGGAGGGUCAUUGGAAACUGGAAAACUUGAGUGCAGAAGAGGAAAGUGGAAUUCCAUGUGUAGCGGUGAAAUGCGCAGAGAUAUGGAGGAACACCAGUGGCGAAGGCGACUUUCUGGUCUGUAACUGACGCUGAUGUGCGAAAGCGUGGGGAUCAAACAGGAUUAGAUACCCUGGUAGUCCACGCCGUAAACGAUGAGUGCUAAGUGUUAGGGGGUUUCCGCCCCUUAGUGCUGCAGCUAACGCAUUAAGCACUCCGCCUGGGGAGUACGACCGCAAGGUUGAAACUCAAAGGAAUUGACGGGGACCCGCACAAGCGGUGGAGCAUGUGGUUUAAUUCGAAGCAACGCGAAGAACCUUACCAAAUCUUGACAUCCUCUGACCCCUCUAGAGAUAGAGUUUUCCCCUUCGGGGGACAGAGUGACAGGUGGUGCAUGGUUGUCGUCAGCUCGUGUCGUGAGAUGUUGGGUUAAGUCCCGCAACGAGCGCAACCCUUAAGCUUAGUUGCCAUCAUUAAGUUGGGCACUCUAAGUUGACUGCCGGUGACAAACCGGAGGAAGGUGGGGAUGACGUCAAAUCAUCAUGCCCCUUAUGAUUUGGGCUACACACGUGCUACAAUGGACAAUACAAAGGGUAGCGAAACCGCGAGGUCAAGCAAAUCCCAUAAAGUUGUUCUCAGUUCGGAUUGUAGUCUGCAACUCGACUAUAUGAAGCUGGAAUCGCUAGUAAUCGUAGAUCAGCAUGCUACGGUGAAUACGUUCCCGGGUCU